RNAcentral lists this ribosomal RNA (231 nucleotides) under uncultured Lactobacillus sp. RNAcentral describes it as "partial 16S ribosomal RNA". It matches the Rfam family "Bacterial small subunit ribosomal RNA", at positions 132 to 355 of the family's 1533-position model. Lineage: Bacteria; Bacillati; Bacillota; Bacilli; Lactobacillales; Lactobacillaceae. The record is from RNAcentral.
AAGAGAUCGGGAUAACACCUGGAAACAGAUGCUAAUAACCGGAUAACAACAGAUGAUGCCUAUCAACUGUUUAAAAGAUGGUUCUGCUAUCACUCUUGGAUGGACCUGCGGUGCAUUAGCUAGUUGGUAGGGUAACGGCCUACCAAGGCGAUGAUGCAUAGCCGAGUUGAGAGACUGAUCGGCCACAUUGGGACUGAGACACGGCCCAAACUCCUACGGGAGGCAGCAGCC